AAAUUCCCCCAUAUACUUUCCCUCAUACUUUGAGGAAUAGGAAUCUCUUCCAGAUGAAAUGAAGGAACGACUUGACACAGUUCGCUUUAAUGGGGUGACAAAAUGAAUCACGACUCCUCCAAGUAUCCAUCACGACCAAAAAGGUGACCACAAAUGAUCUGUGAACCACUAUAUAUUGAUUACCCCUGUACUACAAGUGUCGGAUUUAAUGUUCAAAAGGGCGCCUUGGACAGCUGCAGCCUUAACUCUUCUUUGAUAGAUUUUAAUGGUGAAAUAUUGAUUUCUGUCUGGUCAAGGUCUACUGGUAGGGGCCAAAGUCAUUUGUUGGGCAGAGCUGGACACCCGGUUUGCGAGUCACAAUCAAUCAUGUUGGCACAGUGCGCCAAAAAAGGGAGGAAAGGGAAGAAAAAAGUGCAGACCGAACAGGGACCCUCGAAUCCCCUAACGCUGAGGUCCUGAUAGAAAGGUGAAGGGGGUGCAAAUGGAAUAGGCUGAUUUUUAUG
Long non-coding RNA from Cyprinus carpio carpio, 503 nucleotides. The record is from Ensembl. NCBI's taxonomy places the organism in Eukaryota, Metazoa, Chordata, Actinopteri, Cypriniformes, Cyprinidae.